GUGAGUAACACGUGGAUAACCUACCUAUAAGACUGGGAUAACUUCGGGAAACCGGAGCUAAUACCGGAUAAUAUUUUGAACCGCAUGGUUCAAAAGUGAAAGACGGUCUUGCUGUCACUUAUAGAUGGAUCCGCGCUGCAUUAGCUAGUUGGUAAGGUAACGGCUUACCAAGGCAACGAUGCAUAGCCGACCUGAGAGGGUGAUCGGCCACACUGGAACUGAGACACGGUCCAGACUCCUACGGGAGGCAGCAGUAGGGAAUCUUCCGCAAUGGGCGAAAGCCUGACGGAGCAACGCCGCGUGAGUGAUGAAGGUCUUCGGAUCGUAAAACUCUGUUAUUAGGGAAGAACAUAUGUGUAAGUAACUGUGCACAUCUUGACGGUACCUAAUCAGAAAGCCACGGCUAACUACGUGCCAGCAGCCGCGGUAAUACGUAGGUGGCAAGCGUUAUCCGGAAUUAUUGGGCGUAAAGCGCGCGUAGGCGGUUUUUUAAGUCUGAUGUGAAAGCCCACGGCUCAACCGUGGAGGGUCAUUGGAAACUGGAAAACUUGAGUGCAGAAGAGGAAAGUGGAAUUCCAUGUGUAGCGGUGAAAUGCGCAGAGAUAUGGAGGAACACCAGUGGCGAAGGCGACUUUCUGGUCUGUAACUGACGCUGAUGUGCGAAAGCGUGGGGAUCAAACAGGAUUAGAUACCCUGGUAGUCCACGCCGUAAACGAUG
This 718-nucleotide ribosomal RNA is filed under the name Staphylococcus aureus. RNAcentral's name for it is "bacterial SSU rRNA". It matches the Rfam family "Bacterial small subunit ribosomal RNA", at positions 106 to 811 of the family's 1533-position model. Lineage: Bacteria; Bacillati; Bacillota; Bacilli; Caryophanales; Staphylococcaceae. The record is from RNAcentral.